GUCACUCAUCAUGGUGGGGGUACUAAUGCUGGCCCAUUGCUGUAGGAUGAAGGACUCUUCCAAUGGUGACUAUGGCUUGAGAACUUGACAUCAGCCUUGCCAAAACUCUGUUAGAACUGUAGCAUAGGCUAAGAUGCCUCUUACCCAAACCUCCUUCCUUUCCUUUCUUCUCACAGGGGUCAAACUUACAUCACAGUGUGAUGGCUCCCCCAGCUCCCUCACAGGCACGCCUCCCAGUACAUCUCUUACACCUCUAAUAUCUCUUGGUGCCUGCUUCUCAGAGGACUUCAACUAACUCAGGGGAGGAGUUGGUAAUUUCAGUUUGUGUCAGCCAAUGCCUACUGGAGGAGAAGAUGGCUGAGGCUCCAUACUAUGAACAUGACUUAUGACUGUUGACGUUGCCCUUCGUCACCUGGCUGAGAACAUUUGGGGGUAGGGUAAAUGAAAUAACAUCAUACCUGUGUUACACAUUGGAAAAGACAUGGAAGAGAUGAAGUUCUUGCCUCAGUUUGUACAACUGGUAAAAGGCAGAGCUGAGAC
Non-coding RNA from Delphinapterus leucas (beluga whale), 540 nucleotides. The record is from RefSeq and is a predicted model, not a curated record. NCBI's taxonomy places the organism in Eukaryota, Metazoa, Chordata, Mammalia, Artiodactyla, Monodontidae.